GAUUCUGGCUCAGAACGAACGCUGGCGGCGCGUUUAAGCAUGCAAGUCGAGCGGCAAGGGCCUUCGGGCCCCUAGAGCGGCGGACGGGUGAGUAACACGUGGACAAUCUGCCCCCCGGCCCGGGAUAGCCCAGGGAAACCUGGAUUAAUACCGGAUGAGACGGGACCCGCGAUGGCGGGAUCCGGGAAAGGCGCUGCGGCGCCGCCGGGGGAUGAGUCUGCGUCCCAUUAGCUAGACGGCGGGGUAACGGCCCACCGUGGCGACGAUGGGUAGCCGGCCUGAGAGGGUGGACGGCCACAUUGGAACUGAGACACGGUCCAGACUCCUACGGGAGGCAGCAGCUAAGAAUCUUCCGCAAUGGGCGAAAGCCUGACGGAAGCGACGCCGCGUGAACGAAGAAGGCCGUGAGGUUGUAAAGUUCUUUUCGGGAGGGGAACAACCGUGGCAGGGAAUGGCCGCGGGAUGACGUGAAUCCCGGAAUAAGCCCCGGCUAACUACGUGCCAGCCGCGGC
This 512-nucleotide ribosomal RNA is filed under the name uncultured bacterium. Its description in RNAcentral is "bacterial SSU rRNA". It matches the Rfam family "Bacterial small subunit ribosomal RNA", at positions 15 to 518 of the family's 1533-position model. The record is from RNAcentral.